RNAcentral lists this long non-coding RNA (356 nucleotides) under Nicotiana benthamiana. RNAcentral describes it as "long non-coding RNA (NBEN_LNC036326)". The record is from RNAcentral. Lineage: Eukaryota; Viridiplantae; Streptophyta; Magnoliopsida; Solanales; Solanaceae.
GAUGGGCCUAGGAUAAGGCAAUAAAAACCGUCGAUAUGUGGGGUGAUCGAACCGACUCAUCUACAACUCAUCUUUGAAAACAAGAUGCGCUCCUACGUGAGGAGGGGGGAAAUGAAAGUAAGAACCAUGCGCAUGGAUGAAAGAGCGCGCUUUGAGGGAAGAGGGGAAGAAAGACUAUAGAAAGGCUAAGUGAAGUACUUAUAGGGACUUCUUUAACAUUCUUCUUUCCUCUUCUUGCUUCUCACCUUCUUUCCCUUUCCUCGCAUCCUAAUAUAAUAAAGAUCAAAACGAGUUGCUCCAGGUCCAGAUAUCUCCCUUCGAGAUUGCCAGCAUCAGUCUAAGUAGCUUAAGUUUUU